This is a long non-coding RNA of Oxyura jamaicensis (ruddy duck), 149 nucleotides long. RefSeq lists it as uncharacterized. The transcript is spliced from 2 exons. NCBI's taxonomy places the organism in Eukaryota, Metazoa, Chordata, Aves, Anseriformes, Anatidae. The record is from RefSeq and is a predicted model, not a curated record.
UGAAUUUUAGACAGCACUAAGAAUAAGAUUUAUCUCAUUUAGAAUGGAAGCUGCUUUCAAGAACUGCCCAUCUUCCCCUAUAAGCAUGGAAGUCUGAAUAACUAAAAGGAGAUUCAUCAGAGACCAAUUGAACAGUUCAACCCUUCAUC